This 491-nucleotide ribosomal RNA is filed under the name uncultured Eubacteriales bacterium. RNAcentral's name for it is "uncultured Clostridiales bacterium partial 16S ribosomal RNA". Lineage: Bacteria; Bacillati; Bacillota; Clostridia; Eubacteriales. The record is from RNAcentral.
CACGUAGUUAGCCGGGGCUUCUUAGUCAGGUACCGUCUUGCUUCUUCCCUGCCGAUAGGGCUUUACAUGCCGAAGCACUCCUUCACCCACGCGGCGUCGCUGCAUCAGGGUUCCCCCCAUUGUGCAAUAUCCCCCACUGCUGCCUCCCGUAGGAGUCUGGGCCGUGUCUCAGUCCCAAUGUGGCCGUCCGCCCUCUCAGGCCGGCUACCGAUCGUUGCCUUGGUGGGCCGCUGCCCCGCCAACAAGCUAAUCGGACGCGGACCCAUCGCAUGCCGGGAUUGCUCCCUUUCCGUGCGGCGCCAUGCGGCGCCGUGCGCAUAUGCGGUAUUAGCGGCUGUUUCCAGCCGGUAUCCCCCUGCAUGCGGCAGGUUGUCCACGCGUUACUCACCCGUCCGCCACUCGGGCAGAUAUCACUAGGUUUCAAUCUGCCCCCGUUCGACUUGCAUGUGUUAGGCACGCCGCCAGCGUUCAUCCUGAGCCAGGAUCAAACU